Molecule: ribosomal RNA, 247 nt
Filed under: uncultured bacterium
Lineage: Bacteria
Description: partial 16S ribosomal RNA
Rfam family: Bacterial small subunit ribosomal RNA
Source: RNAcentral
UGGGUAACCUGCCUCAAAGAGGGGAAUAGCCUCCCGAAAGGGAGAUUAAUACCGCAUAAUAUGUUUAAGUCGCAUGACUUUAACAUCAAAGGUAUUUUUCUUUUAAGAAAAUUCCACUUUGAGAUGGACCCGCGGCGCAUUAGCUAGUUGGUGAGGUAACGGCUCACCAAGGCAACGAUGCGUAGCCGACCUGAGAGGGUGAUCGGCCACAUUGGAACUGAGACACGGUCCAGACUCCGUAGGGAGG